RNAcentral lists this long non-coding RNA (519 nucleotides) under Helianthus annuus (common sunflower). The record is from RNAcentral. Lineage: Eukaryota; Viridiplantae; Streptophyta; Magnoliopsida; Asterales; Asteraceae.
AACUCCAGAGGUUUGCACGUAUUGCUCAUAUCAGUGUGUGUAUGUGAAAGAGAUGACCAACAGGGGUAAAAGGAAAAAGAAGGAAAGGCUAGAGCAAAAAUCUUGUAAUUGGAAGUGAAUCAAUGGUUUAGGGCUUGAAAAUUUUCUAUGUGGAAGUCAAUGGCUCGGUGGAGGAACUCAAGAUCGGAUCAAUCCUACGGCAAAGGUAAAGUCCAUGUUGUGAGGGCUCAAAAAUGUACAUAAGGUCAUCGGUCAAGUCUCGAGAAUCGGGUGAACACACACAUUAACUCUUGGUCGUUGUUGCGAAGCAUUAUGAUAGACCAGCUUUCGUAUAUUUCUUAAAGUCUUUGAAUAAUCAUCUACCAAUUGUGUGAAUAUUGUUGGUGGUUUUUAUUGUAGGAUCGUGUUUUGACCCGAACGAGUCUAUCAGAGGAGUUUUGAUCAGAUACAGGUGCGGAAAACAAGUACCUGACGUAGAAACCGCUAGAUAUUCUCUUAAAUCACUUUUUUGAUUGAUUU